UAACAUUCGAAGAAAAAAUAUGAAGUGAUGAACAACUCUUGAAAAAUUCUUUUUUUUUAUUACAAUUAUUAUUGUUUUUUAAUUAUUGGCUGUAGAUGGGUAUUUAAUUAAAGUCCAAUCGCGUCUUUGCCAAUUUAUAAUCUUAUUUGUAUUUCUACAUUUUUUUUGGAAAGAAUGAUAUUCAAAUGAAAGAACCAAUUUUCUUUCAGGAAAAAUUCUUUUAGUUAAAAUGACAUGUACUAGAUGAAUUAGGACGUUAAGAAUGAACUAAUUGCAAUAGCAUAGUUUGCUAGCGUGAAAAAAAAACACAGAUGGAAAUUAGCGAGCCUAGUAAAGAAACAUUUAUGACGAGGUGGUUCUAAAAAGCCUUUCGUGUAUAUAUAUAUAUAUAUUCGGCUCUAAACAAACGCAAGCUUUAAGUAUCAUUGUAACUGUAAAUUAUUGGCAAUACUGAAAGUAUAAGACGAUCCUCAAGUUGUAAGCAAACCUAAUUCAUUUGCUGUACCAAGACUAGGAUGGAUGAGUUACAAGUCACUUUAAGUGUUUAUGGGUCCAAAGAGAAUAUAAAAUGUGUUUUCCCAAUUUUACAAGGGUUAGCCAAAUAAAGAAUGCAAAUGAACAAAUCGCAUGAAUUGCGGAAGCUAGUGACAUUGUAUGACGAUCUGCCCGAAAUCCCAAGUCCGUAUCUCAUCCGCGAAAUUGAGACAUAUCACGAUGCAUACGGAGAAAAUCUAUACAACGCAAGUAUAGCCGCACCCAAAGACGGAUAUAGAAUAGACUGGAGAAGGCUACAUCCCUCGGAUAUGGAGACUGAAUGAAAGAAUUGAGAGAGUAUUUAAAGCUCAUUAAGUGCAAUGUUUACGAUUGUUAUUACGGUUCUACAUGGUCAAUAGUAUGGGAAAUUUUAAAAUAAACAUUUUUCCUGGUUGUGAAAAUGAUGGAGAGAAGCAACGAAAAUAUCUUUAACUGAUGCUUUAUAUAUGUAGAAUAAAAAUUGAGUUGGAAAUUACAGCAGGGAUAGUAAACAAGUCAAGGAUAUGUUACAGUUGUCAUUAGAAUAACAAAAGGUUUAAUAACUAUCUUUUAAAGAGGAUUUGACAUUGUACUAAGGGCUGAGACAACUCGCAUUAAAUAAGCAAAGGCUG
RNAcentral lists this long non-coding RNA (1145 nucleotides) under Schizosaccharomyces pombe (fission yeast). The record is from RNAcentral. Lineage: Eukaryota; Fungi; Ascomycota; Schizosaccharomycetes; Schizosaccharomycetales; Schizosaccharomycetaceae.